RNAcentral lists this long non-coding RNA (1732 nucleotides) under Olea europaea subsp. europaea. The record is from RNAcentral. Lineage: Eukaryota; Viridiplantae; Streptophyta; Magnoliopsida; Lamiales; Oleaceae.
CAUAAAGAUGAUGUACAAAUGUUUCAGCCGACAACAACACACUAGCAUGCGGGGACAUGGGAAUAAAAUCUGACGGUCGCCUAGACUUAUAAUUAUGAACAACUUCAAAUGGAUUUAGACCUACAGACCAAUUUACAAAAUUGUUAUAUACAAUUUGAACAAUUGGAAGGAUCAAAUUCCAAUUUCCCAGAGUUUCCUUACAAAGAGCAUGAUUACACAAAUCAUCAAUACUUUUGGGUGGUAUAAGAGUAGGACACACAACAUUUGACUGAGAGGUAUCAAGAAAAGGGGUACGAUACCUAGACUCAUAGAAAAAGUCCGAAUACUAUCGAAGGGGGUGUCCUCACUGUCAUCCAAUUCAUCAAAUUCUUCAAGUUUAGGUUCAUAGAUUUGAUUUUCUAAUCAUUCAUCUCUCAUAUUCUUUUGUUCUUCAAUGAAUAAGGCUUGAUUAGAUCAUUCAGAAGAAAUGUGGCCAAAGUCCUUAUAGUUGAAGCACUGUAAAUGAGAAGAAGUUAUUGAAGUUUCAAAAUCUUGACAUUUAUUGUCCAAUAGAAUAGGAGCAUUAGAUGGGAGAGGACCUAGAAGAGACUUAUCAGGAGAAGGUAGUGUUAAUAAGACGAAACGGAGAAUGUCACUAUGCCUUCAAUAUGAAGAAGAAGGUAUUGGGAUAUCAUGACCUUUACACUUAUUUUCCCAAAUGGGAGGAACAUUAGACGAGGAAGGCUCUAUGAUAGACUUAUGAUGAGGUGGCGCUAAUGACAUGGGAAAACGAUGGUGAUCACGCUUUUCAUAUAACGUACUAAUAGUCAAUUCAUAAUCUCUGGCUAAAGAAUAAGCGUGAUCAAGAGUAGUAACACCUCGAAAGAAAAGUUCACGCCUAAGAUCGUCUCUUAGACCUUGGCUAAACCUACUCAAAGUCGUGGUCUCAUCCUCAACGACAUGAUAUUUGGUUCGAAAUUACAAGGAAAUGGUUUUAUAAGUGCCUAUUUUAAUAUGUUGAAAGGCCUGUGGAAAGAGUUAUCAAACUAUAGGCCUUAGAGUCACAAUUCCUAUUGUGAGGAAUAGCACAUUUUAAUGGGAUUGGAUGACUGCUAUUCUUAUGUGCGUAGCCAGAUUUUGAUGAUGGAACCUCUGCCUAAACAAGGUUUUUGCAUUUGUUCAACAAGAUGAGAAAUGUCACAAGCUUUAUCUUGUUAUAACAAUCAAGGUUUUAAGAAUGACAGACCGAAAUGCAAUUACUAUGGUAUGCUUGGCCAUUUACAGGAGAAAUGUCACAAGCUUUAUGGAUAUAUCCUAGGCCAUAGGUUGGCAAAGGACAAGGCAAGGGGUCUACUCCAAAUGCUAAUCAAGUGAUUGGAUUCAUUACUUUUCCAAACAUGUCCAUUGUCUUCUCCAAUUUGACUAUCACACCAGAGCAAUGUUAGAAAGUUCUCAAUAUGCUGAAACCACAACUUUAGACUCACUUUUCCAAUCUAGUCACUCAUUCUGUAUUAUCACCAUUGUGCAUGUAAUAGGGAUUCGAAGGAUUUGUUACCAUUUGAUGAGCGGCAACAACAUGAUCUUCAUCGUGAUGAGCAUUCGACGAAGGAUUGUUAGUAGAACUUUCAUCUUGAGUCUCUGAAUUAGCAGUCAUGAACGGAAGUUCCUAUGUUCUCUGAUACCAUGAGAAAUCUGCUCCAAUGUAGAGAGAGAAAACUGUGCACAAACUCAGAGAGAAAACACGAUGAAAUAG